Alligator mississippiensis (American alligator) is the source of this 3888-nucleotide long non-coding RNA. RefSeq lists it as uncharacterized. The transcript is spliced from 3 exons. The record is from RefSeq and is a predicted model, not a curated record. Lineage: Eukaryota; Metazoa; Chordata; Crocodylia; Alligatoridae.
ACCGCCCAAGUAUUGCUUUUGUUAACCCUGUAAGUCUUGCCUUAUUGUAAUAAGUAUAAAAGAUCGCCUCACCCUUGAGGGGGGGCCAUUUUGCCUUUUGCUGGCUUUAUGGUCUUUGCUCAAGCAAAUAAACAGCUGUCUUUCUUUACCCGCGUUGUCUGUCUAUUAAAUUACAGCUAGACAAUGAACCUUAGGGAGGUUUCUCCCACCACAGUGACAGCGAUCAUCGCCUGCUGGAAUUCACCAUCCAGCACAAGGUGGCAAAAGCCUGGAGCAAGGCAGCAGCCCUGGACUUCAGAAGGGUGGAUUUCAAUGAGCCCAUGCCUUCUGGUGCCUUGUGAGCUGAGAGCUGGCCAGCUGUGUCGAUCCUUAAAGAUACCGGGGUCUCUCACCUGCCACAUCUUUGAGGUGAAAUAGAUAAAGGGAGAAAGAUAUUAUCUCUGCCUUCAUCAGCCUCUUAAUGACCACACACAGCAUUAUCAGACCUGGGGAUCUGCCUCCCUUAUACUCUGCCUAGCAACAACCUGAUGGUGCAUGGUUACUUCCAGUUUGUUGCUGCUCCAAUUCCAAUCCUCAGCAUCCAGCUCCCAUUGCUGCUGCUCUAGUGAGUAUGCUGGGUCCUCUUGGUGUCUCUAGUGGACAACUGUCCUGAAUCAGGCUUCCACCAGUUGCCCCUGCUGGCGCAACCUGUCUUCCAGCACAGCAUUUGCCAGUGUGGGGAACUCACUUCCUGUUGUGCUACUCCAUGUCUGCUUUAAGCCAGCAUUCUGGUUCUAGUGAGUGAAUCAGCAUCGGCAAGCACUUAUAAGACACUCCCACACCAACACCAGAUGUUCUUCAACCAGUGCCACCCCCGCAGCCAUCUGCAGGUGUGACCAUUGCUCUGGUGUCUUGGGUAAGCUUCUUUCAGUGGCAGCUUCUUUCUGCCUGCUAGACCCCCCAUUUCUGCUCUGCUCUGCUCUACACCAAGGAACCCCUGGCCUGCAUCCAACUUUCAGCCUCCAGCCAGGCAAGUCAUGCCUCCCACACCAUCCUCCCAUCCACCACCAUCUCCUGCAGCCCCCGUGUUUGGCGGAGCUGCUGCUGUAAGAGAAGCCAGACCCCAGGAUAGGCUAAGCAGUGCAGGCCUUGCAUGAGGAUGCAACUGGGCUCAGCACCACCCACAGUCUCCCUUUGGGGCACAGCUGCUCUUAGAAUAUAAAGCCUGCUUGUCAUAGAUUUUUUCCAGACUACAAAUGGUGGGCUUGUACUUGCCCAGAUGCAUGUGUGCAAAGAUUUCACACCUGGGUAACUGCCAUGUAGGCAUAUAAAUUAAAAUAUCUGUUGUCUCCCUGCUUCCCUGGCAUUAGCUUGGCAGGGACUUCUGGGAGUGCUCCCCUUAGAGUGCCUGGGUCAAGAUGAUGGGGAGAGUUCUGGGUCAAGGGAAAUUGAGAGUAGGAAUCAUUUGAGGUAAGGGGGUGGCUACAGGGCUCAGGAAGACGUAGAAAAGAUGGAUAUGUGUCUCAGUGCAAAGAACUGUUAAGACCACCUGUGGCCCAUUUCCAAGAGUCAUUAGGGAUAAGGAGUUAUAGCUGUAGAGUCAGGCACUGCAGAAUGCACACAGACACCAGAAAAAGAGCAACCCUGCUUCUGGCACCAUGAAGGAAACAUACCUAUUCCACUCUCUGGGAGUGUGAGCCCAUAUAAGAUUCUCAAACAGCUGAAGGGCAUAGAACAUGGAGAUUGAGAGACAGCCUUCCCCAAGUAGUUGAUGCACAACAAAGAAUACCUCUCAUCCUGCACUUUCUAAGUAGCAUCUCCAGUAUCUGCUUAAAGGGACCUAACCACAGUCAUCCAGGAUACCUUAAGGGCAAAAAAAGAAGCAUACAGGAAGUGGAAGCAGGGGGUAGCUAGCAAGGAGUAGUAUGCUUCCUUGGCCUGCACCUGCAGGGAGUCAGUCAGGAAGGCCAAGGCAGCUCUAGAACUCAGGCUAGUGGCAGGGAUUAAGGACAAUAAAAAAUCCUUCUUUAGGUACAUUGGGAGCAAAAAGAGGGUGCAGGGUAGCAUAGCCUCAGGGAUUUAAUAAGGACAAGUGCAAGGUGCUGCAUCUAGGGAGAAAGAACUGCCAUCAUACCUAUAGGCUGGGGGGCAACCUUCUCAGCACCACUGAGGCAAAAAAAGAUCUUGGAAUCACCGUUGACUCCAGGAUGAACACGAGUCAUCAAUGUGAUGAAGUAGUCGGCAGAGCCAAUCGCAUCCAUAGGUGCCACCACCCGACCAUCGCAUCCAUAGGUGGGGGGGGCCAAUCGCAUCCAUAGGUGCCUCACAAACAGGUCCAGGGAGGUGAUUCUCCCCCUAUAGGCGGCACUGGUCAGGCCACAGCUGGAGUACUGUGUCCAGUUCUGGAUGCCGCAGUUCAAGUGGGAUGCAGACAACACCAAGAGGGUCCAAAGAAGAGCCACUCAUCUGAUUGGAGGCCUGCAGGGAAGGCCCUACAAGGAAAGGCUAAGGGACCUUAACCUCUUCAGCCUUUCCAAGAGAAGGCUGAGAGAGGACCUUGUGGUGGAGUACAAGUUCAUAAGGGGAGAGCAACACGAAGUAGGCGAUGAUCUGUAUAACAGGGCACCCCCUGGAACAACAAGGAACAAUGGUUAUAAGCUACUGGAGAGUAGAUUUUGACUGGACAUUAGAAAAAAGUUCUUCAUGGUCAGGGUUGCCAGGAUCUGGAAUGGGCUUCCAAGGGAGGUGGUGCUCGCCCCAUCCUUGGGGGUCUUCAAGAGGAGACAGGACUAGUACCUGGCUGGGAUCACAUGACCCCAGGUUUGGUAACCCUUUUCUUGCCUGCCAAGGGCAGGGGUCAGACUAGAUGGCCCACUCAGGUCCCUUCCAACCCUAGAAUCUAUAAAUCUAUGACUGGAGACUUCCCACUUCCAUAGAAGUAGUUGAAUCAAGUAAGCUGCAAUGGAGUGGGCCAGGGAGGAAAAAACAAAGGAAAGGGGUGCUGUGACAUCUCCCACACAGCUCAAAAUUUGCUUCCCAAAACCUGGAGGUCAGAAACAAUUCUGGGGCCUAUCAUCUGAGGGCAUGUGGAGGAGAACAGGGUCAUGGUGACCACCCCAAUCAUUGCUUUAAAUCUAGGUAGCACCUGUAGUUGCUUCCUAUUCUCAGGAGGGCAAAGUAUAGAACAAACUGCUCCAAGCUAUCCGAUCAGAUUAGAAAGCCAGUUUCUCUGUUUCUUGACACUUACCUGUAAACAGCGGGAUUUCACUUCUGUAAUCCAUUGUAGGCAAUAGUCUGUCUGUAUUUAUAUUAUUGUAGACUGCCCAAAUACCCCUCUAAAGUCUGACCCAGAACUCAGUAGCACUGCCUGCCUUCUUUUUUGGCACAAGUUACUCCUGUGGGACUUAAUCCUUAGAGGUAAAUUUUUGGAAGUACAAAAAAUAUAAAACAAUUAUACAAUUAUAAACUAUUCUAUUCUGUUCUCAGCCUGUGUAGGUUAGUCCUGGCAUGGAGGGAUUAGCUCCAUCCUGGCACUUGAACCUGAAUCAUUGACUGUGUCUACAUGAGAUACUAAUGUGCAUUUGACACUGCAUUUAUUUAUUACUUGUAUAAACAAGUACUAAAUACAUGUCCAGUAACCUGAGUUACUAUGCAGUCACACUGGCAAGUGCCUUUUUUGUGAUGCUGUGGCAGAUUAUCCUAAUAUGGCACCCAGUGCAGUAGCAUUGCAUCAUGAUUUUUGCCAUGUGGUGUUAAUGAGCAGUAAUAUUAGGCUACUGUGCAGUCAGCCUCUCAUGUAGAUGAGCCCACUGUGCAGCAAAGUACCCAUUAUUUAUGUGGCCAAAAAUUUUUUAAAGUAGGUAGGCCAGUAGGCUGGGAAAGUAAAACCUUGUUUUUUAAUUGCUUUUA